This is a long non-coding RNA of Pteropus alecto (black flying fox), 1108 nucleotides long. RefSeq lists it as uncharacterized. Lineage: Eukaryota; Metazoa; Chordata; Mammalia; Chiroptera; Pteropodidae. The transcript has 2 exons. The record is from RefSeq and is a predicted model, not a curated record.
UGGGCAGUGCUGGCUGUCCGGCAGACAUGGGGUGAGGAAGGGGGUGCCCCAGUGUUGGGCCCUGGCAGCGGGGGAUGGUGGGCCCCUGCAGAUUCAGCCCUCGCAGUGUGAGUUCGCCUUUGGCUGAGGGCCCAGGGAAGGGCCGGCUCUCCCCACCGUCCCUCCGGGAUCCACCCUGACCGGGGUUGGGGGACGGUUCGGCCCCACCCUGCUGUGUUCUCUGCCUGGCUCUGAGCUUCCUGCUUCUUUUCCGUGUGUGUGGCUGACCACGUCAGUGUCUAGGCUGAACGCGAGGCCGCCUGCAGAGCCAGGUCCCCGGGGAGAAACACCUUUGACUGUCACGGGACUUCGUUCUAGAUUCCUUCCUCCUUGGUGGCCACGUUUGCCACCGUGCUGAUGGCUUGGCCUUCCGAAGUGCACACUUUGUCCCAGAGGCGGCAAACAGCUGCCUGGGGUCUGGACGGUCUAGAGUUGACACCCCCACCCCUUGCUCCGUGAUUGGACGCCCAUCUUUUUAUGACGUCUGUCCCGAUUACCCCGCCCCGGGGAUGGCCACUCUGCAGGCUCCCUGCGGAGAGGCCGGGCUCUGCUGGCCGACCCUGAGUGGAGGGCACCUUUCCAAGGCCAGGUCUGAGGCAGGGGCCCCUCCCCUAGCGAGCCUGGGCUCGUGAGGCCGGGGGACCCCUCGACCCUCCCCGCACACCGGUCCUCACGCUCCUGCCCUCUGACCCUCCUGGGUCAUCCUGGGUCAUCAGGCCUGGCCGCUGACUGCUGAGGGUGGGGUCCCUGCCCACAGCCUGGUAAUGAAUACGCGGUGAGGGAACCUCUGGUCACCCAGCCUCCGGGCGCCGGGUCCCGAGGAAGCUUGUCCCCCUUCGUGUGUCCCCCCGGGGUUUGCACAGGGCGAGUCCGCUGUGAGCUCAGGGACAGGCCAGCCCGCCGUGCAGCCUGGUCCUGUGCAGCCUGCUCCUGUGCGGGUCCUGCUACCUGUUUCUGCACCAUUUGAGGGGCCUCUGCUCUGGGAAAUAAAUACUCUGACCCUUAAAUAGUUCACAGGAUCUUCAUCGGUGGGAAUAAUCAAUACGAAAAUAAAAGUGACCGCCAGGGA